Equus caballus (horse) is the source of this 793-nucleotide long non-coding RNA. The record is from Ensembl. Lineage: Eukaryota; Metazoa; Chordata; Mammalia; Perissodactyla; Equidae.
AAGAAGGAAGAAAGUUCUUGCCAGGCAGCGGAAAGAGCAUCUACAAAGCACUGGCCACUCCAGAAAGGACCACUCACAUAUGGUCUACAUUAUCGAUGGGGCUGUGAACGAUGCUGCUUGGAGCCGUGCAACAAGCCACCUGUCAACACCCUGCAGGAGGGGAGCUGCAUGAGGCAUGACAAAGAAGACAAAGUAAGCUCUGGACACCUAGACAAAGACCACAGAAACAACAGAGGUGUUGUGGCAACAUGAGAAGAGCACUGGCCUGAGAGGCAGGACAUCCACGUUCUGGUCCCUGCUCUGUCCCCACCUAGCUAUGUGACCUUAUGAAAGUUCCUCUUUUUUUUCCCUCUGGGCCCAGCUCCCCUAUCUGUCAAAUGAAGGAACUGGACAAGAUGAUCUUUAAGAUCUCUCCCAGCUCUGAGAAAUCUCGCCCUCCCACUCAGCAUGGACCGCCCUCCCGCCUGCUCGCUCAAGGCAGUGUCUCUCCAGCUGACCUACUUUGUGUGGGGAGGGGAGGAGGGCAGAGAGGAGCUCUAAGCAGGGAGCGAACAACCAAAGGUUCGCCCGCCCUCCCGAGAGAUUCAGGCCCCUCUGCAGAGUGCUAACAGUUGGGACGGUGCCCCCCACCCCACCUGCUUCUGAGGCCUCUCCUGCCUGCUCCGCAGAAUGCAGCAGGCUUAAAAUAUCUGCCAGGGCAGCGGGGCUGUGUUGAUGCAUUGCUUUUAGUUCUUAAUCAUGUUGCUGAUUCACCAGGGUAUUUCUCUGACUUUCCAAACAUGUUUUUUUAAAG